CCUACGGGAGGCAGCAGUAGGGAAUUUUCGUCAAUGGGCGCAAGCCUGAACGAGCGAUGCCGCGUGAGUGAAGAAGGCCUUCGGGUCGGAAAGCUCUGUUUCGGGGGAAAAAAGGCAGCAUCCGUAAAUGGGUGCUGACUGAUGGUGCCCCGCCAGCAAGUCCCGGCUAACUACGUGCCAGCAGCCGCGGUAAUACGUAGGUGGCGAGCGUUAUCCGGAAGGAUUGGGCGUAAAGGGUGCGCAGGCGGUCCUGCAAGUCUGGAGUGAAAAGCAUGAGCUCAACUCAUGCAUGGCUUUGGAAACUGGAGGACUGGAGAGCAGGAGAGGGCGGUGGAAUGCCAUGUGUAGCGGUAAAAUGCGUAGAUAUAUGGAAGAACACCAGUGGCGAAGGCGGCCGCCUGGCCUGUUGCUGACGCUGAGGCACGAAAGCGUGGGGAGCAAAUAGGAUUAGAUACCCCAGUAGUC
Molecule: ribosomal RNA, 465 nt
Filed under: uncultured bacterium
Lineage: Bacteria
Description: partial 16S ribosomal RNA
Rfam family: Bacterial small subunit ribosomal RNA
Source: RNAcentral